UACCAGACUCCUACGGGAGGCAGCAGUGGGGGAUAUUGCACAAUGGGGGAAACCCUGAUGCAGCGACGCCGCGUGAGUGAAGAAGUAUUUCGGUAUGUAAAGCUCUAUCAGCAGGGACGAAAAUGACGGUACCUGAGUAAGAAGCCCCGGCUAACUACGUGCCAGCAGCCGCGGUAAUACGUAGGGGGCAAGCGUUAUCCGGAUUUACUGGGUGUAAAGGGAGCGUAGACGGUUAUGCAAGUCUGGAGUGAAAGGCGGGGGCUCAACCGCGGGACUGCUUUUGAAACUGUUAAGCUUGAGUGCAGGAGAAGUAAGCGGAAUUCCUAGUGUAGCGGUGAAAUGCGUAGAUAUUAGGAGGAACACCAGUGGCGAAGGCGGCUUACUGGACUGUAACUGACACUGAGGCUCGAAAGCGUGGGGAGCAAACAGGAUUAGAUACCCCAGUA
This 446-nucleotide ribosomal RNA is filed under the name uncultured bacterium. Its description in RNAcentral is "bacterial SSU rRNA". It matches the Rfam family "Bacterial small subunit ribosomal RNA", at positions 329 to 792 of the family's 1533-position model. The record is from RNAcentral.